Rhea pennata is the source of this 186-nucleotide long non-coding RNA. RefSeq lists it as uncharacterized. The record is from RefSeq and is a predicted model, not a curated record. NCBI's taxonomy places the organism in Eukaryota, Metazoa, Chordata, Aves, Rheiformes, Rheidae. The transcript is spliced from 3 exons.
GGCCCAGCCGCCGCCUGCUGCCCGGCGCCCCGCGCGCGACGAGGCUGGAAAAAAUAUCUUGAGUGGAUAACAAGAAUUGCAAGAAGGAUAUAGUCCCUGCUUUGAUUUGUGAGCACUCUUCAAGUGAGCAGUCUUCGAAUGAUUUGGAACUUCCCCUAUCAUAGUAACCAAAACAAUGAUAUCAUG